UGGUAACGUGGCCUUCUUUCUGUAAGAGUUUACUGUAAUUGCACAUGGGAUAAGGAAAAAUAGUGGUUUGUGCAAUAGGUACCAGGAUGAUUGGCUCAAGACGUCAGCAAGCUCUCUGCAACUCUGGGAAAAGGCUCCUCUUGAACCAUAUACUCUGCAAAAACCUAUGACUUACUAUGUUGUAUGUCCAGACAUUGAUCCCCUUACUACCGCUGCUGCGGAAUUUUUUCAGCAACUUGGCACUGGUAGCUGCAACUUCUGAUCUAAUGCUUGGAUAUGUGGAUUUUUUCCUCGGUGGAGAUGAAAAAAGAGCUGACCUUCCUCCUCGCCUUCAGCAAAGAUUUCCAAUGUCUUUGUUGUUUGGAGGAGAUGGAAGUUACAUGGCUCCUUUCUCUCUUCACAGUGACAAUAUCCUCACUAGCCUCAUGAGUCAGGUCUGCUAUUUGUUAUUGAUAAAGAUAAUGGAAUGUUCAAGAUUA
This is a non-coding RNA of Camellia sinensis, 479 nucleotides long. The record is from RefSeq and is a predicted model, not a curated record. Lineage: Eukaryota; Viridiplantae; Streptophyta; Magnoliopsida; Ericales; Theaceae.